Marmota monax (woodchuck) is the source of this 359-nucleotide long non-coding RNA. RefSeq lists it as uncharacterized. The record is from RefSeq and is a predicted model, not a curated record. Lineage: Eukaryota; Metazoa; Chordata; Mammalia; Rodentia; Sciuridae. The transcript has 2 exons.
UUCACUUUCCACUAAUUCACUGAUGGCUGCUCAAGUGAGCAGUUUCUAACAAACCUGCACAGGUGAACUCAAAUGGCUUCACUGCCCCCUGAAUUGGCACACUGUCUCUUCCACCUGAGGAAGGAAGAGGACGAGGAGUACAUGGCUCUUACCUAAGAGAACAGCAAGAUAGCAAAAACACUUCUGUAUUUUAAGACUCUGUGCUGGGCCAGUGUGAUGUCUUGAACCACUUCCCUCUGACACACUCUUCUGCCAUGAUGUUCUGCCUUACUUGGAACCCCCAGGAAUGGAGCCAGCUGACUAUGGACUAAAAUCUCUGAAACCGUGAGGCCCAAAAUAAACUUUUCCUGCUCUAUUAA